UACGGGGGGGGCAAGCGUUGUUCGGAAUUACUGGGCGUAAAGGGCUCGUAGGCGGCCAACUAAGUCAGACGUGAAAUCCCUCGGCUCAACCGGGGAACUGCGUCUGAUACUGGGUGGCUUGAAUCCGGGAGAGGGAUGCGGAAUUCCAGGUGUAGCGGUGAAAUGCGUAGAUAUCUGGAGGAACACCGGUGGCGAAGGCGGCAUCCUGGACCGGUAUUGACGCUGAGGCGCGAAAGCCAGGGGAGCAAAAGGG
RNAcentral lists this ribosomal RNA (253 nucleotides) under uncultured bacterium. RNAcentral describes it as "partial 16S ribosomal RNA". It matches the Rfam family "Bacterial small subunit ribosomal RNA", at positions 524 to 776 of the family's 1533-position model. The record is from RNAcentral.